Long non-coding RNA from Spinacia oleracea (spinach), 2242 nucleotides. RefSeq lists it as uncharacterized. The record is from RefSeq and is a predicted model, not a curated record. Lineage: Eukaryota; Viridiplantae; Streptophyta; Magnoliopsida; Caryophyllales; Amaranthaceae. The transcript is spliced from 5 exons.
GUGAUCUUGGAGAAAGAAAAAACGCCCCCCGGUAAACUCUCACGCCCAUUAUUUCUCAACCCUAACACUUUUCAGAUCUCAAAUUCGCAUUCACCGUUUUCAUCUCCUUAGUUCAUCUAUUUUGCUCAGCAAUUCUUCAUUUUUCUAUGUUGCGUUUCUCUAUCUCGCUACCUCUCAACUUGCAGAUCUUGUGAGCUACCUUGCAAUUUAGGGUCUUUUGCUAGAUUUUGCUUGAAGGCUAUAUCUUUAAUUUGUGAUGAACGACAACCGCAACAACAGCCGGUGGAGAGUAUGAGAAAUAUGAUGUAUUCUGGAGAUAGUCUGUGGCAAAAAGAACAACAAGACAAUUUCUCAAGUUUCCUAUGAUAUGUGUGUGAGCCGCUUUCAUUGAUAGUUGAUCAUCUUCCUGUAGCGGUGAACUUUGCAUUCUUCACUUGCGGAUACCGUUGUGAUCCAAGUGCUUUGAGGAGGUCAUAGUGAAUGGCCGAAUGACUGUUACAUUAUACAAAUGGAGAGUGCCGUCCAAAAGGGUGGAGGAGUUGGUGUCAUGCAGUUAUAAGUGAAUAAUCAUCAUCCAGGGGUGCUGGGGUAAGAGAUGAUAAAACUAAUAAUCUGUGUCAGUCCUGUAUCUGUUUUUCAUGUGUGAAAAUGAGAUUGCUUGUUUUCUAUUCUUCUUCUCUUAAGCAAUGGUAGUUUUCAUUUCAUUUAUUUGUAGGAUUAGUUGCAAUUUUUUUGUUACAUGACUUCAGAUGAUACUUUGAAGAGUCUUAGAGAUACAAAUUCAUUUUAAAAAAUGGAAUUCGAACUUUAAUGGGUUAUCAUUAAACAGCUUCAUGAUAAACAAAUUCUCUCUUAGGCAUAGAGAGCCCAGCCUAGCAACCAAUGUGAAUCAAACCCUUCACUACAACAAAACCCGCAAUUUCUCGACUAAAGGGCCUCGACGCCACUAACGACCUUCACAGUUAUUUUAGUGCGUGGCCCAAUAAAAAUCAAUUCUCAACGCAGUUACGAGUUGAUAUGUCGGAGUAUAUUUUUUCCUUAACGCUACCUUUCCUUUCCCCAAUUUUCACGAUCUGCGAAGCCUAAACCCUAACAGUGCUGCUCUUCCUUCUUCUCUUCAGAACUAUAUCAAUUUGUUGCUAGCGAUUUUUCUAGAGUUGUUCCUCUCAUUUUCAGAUCUACAUCAAUCUAUUACUCACGAUUUUCUGUAGUUUUUCUCUUCUUUCCUCGGUUCUAUGUCUCAACUAUUUAAGUUCAUCUCUGACAUUCGAUUUUAUAAGUACCACACCAGAUUUCUCUUCAGCUAAGGUUGUUCUGUUGUUUCCGAUUUCAUCUGAUUGGAUUUUAUUUUGGCUUUUGAUUUCAGUAAAGUUAGGGUUCUUAAUAAUGAUUAUGUGUUCUCUUCUCUCAUGGAAACCUCUUUGAUCUAUAUUGAUAGCGUUUAACCGUAGAAGAGAAACAUUGUUCACAUAACAAACACUCUUCAAUCUGUAACAUUAAACCUAACACUCUCUAAGAUUUUUUUUAAAUGUAACUAAUUAUUUAAUGUAAUAUUUGGGUAUGUUUUCUUCAAGUUGGGGUUAUAUUUUGUGCAUUUAGAUAAUAAAUGUAAUAUUUUCUUGAUAUUUUUGGAAGAAUAUUAAUUUCUUUCCUGAUUUCAGAUACCAGAUCAUUGAGGUGCCCUUCUUUUUUUUUGAGGUAAUUUGUAACGAAAAGUGGAUUAUGUUUUGAUGUGUUGCUUAUUUCUCCUAUUUUUGCUUUGUUGUCCUCCUAAUUGAGGUUGUAUGAAGUAUUCCUUGAGGCAGACUUUUCUGAUCUUCAGCUGUUUAUCACUUAGUGAUUGAUCUUUGCUUUGACAGCCUAGAACAUGUACGAUUGUUUGCUGCCAGUGUUCAUUUUUUUCUGCAAAAAUGUUACUUCGUUAUUUGGCCAAGGCAAAACAUGGCAGCUAGUGGACUACUCAAGAUUACAACUGUUUUUAGCCUUGGAAGCAUCUCAGACGUUCAUCUAGUGGUGCAUAUUUGCAGGCUUCUUUAAUGAUAGUUGUUACUACAACUGAGCAUCAACUUGUAAAUUCGUUAACAUAUAUAGAGAAUCUUCGCUUCAAGUUUUACUUGUAUUUUUCGGUGAUAUUAUUAAUCUUUGUGAUUCAUUCAUAUCAUUGUUGGACAGAUUGGUUCUAGUCUUAUAAGUUAUGUGGUACUAAAUUUUAUUUAUGAGAAUAAAUUUUGAUUUUGUAGCA